UACGUAGGGGGGCUAGCGUUGUCCGGAUUUAUUGGGCGUAAAGAGCGUGUAGGCGGCCAGGUAGGUCUGCUGUGAAAAACUCGAGGCUCAACCUCGAGACGUCGGCGGAAACCAUCUGGCUAGAGUCCGGAAGAGGAGAGUGGAAUUCCUGGUGUAGCGGUGAAAUGCGCAGAUAUCAGGAAGAACACCCGUGGCGAAGGCGGCUCUCUGGGACGGUACUGACGCUGAGACGCGAAAGCGUGGGGAGCGAACAGG
This 255-nucleotide ribosomal RNA is filed under the name uncultured bacterium. RNAcentral's name for it is "partial 16S ribosomal RNA". It matches the Rfam family "Bacterial small subunit ribosomal RNA", at positions 524 to 776 of the family's 1533-position model. The record is from RNAcentral.